RNAcentral lists this unclassified non-coding RNA (336 nucleotides) under fungal sp. RNAcentral describes it as "partial internal transcribed spacer region". The stretch from base 1 to 46 matches the Rfam family "Eukaryotic small subunit ribosomal RNA", at positions 1786 to 1831 of the family's 1831-position model. Lineage: Eukaryota; Fungi. The record is from RNAcentral.
AAGUCGUAACAAGGUUUCCGUAGGUGAACCUGCGGAAGGAUUAUUAACACGUAUCCAAACGUUAAAACCCCCCCCGUGAACCUUCAUCCUGCUCUUGUAACCCGCGUAGUUCGCAAUCUCUGAUACAUCAUAGCCCGGAAAGUUGUAGUGAUUCAGAGACCUCUGGCUACGUUGUGCAAGGAUAGCGCUUCUACGAUUCCUGUAGACCGUACACUCGGGCAGGAGCUUUGCCAAAGGGUCCCCAUGCCCCCUAAUAACCCCACAGUUUAAUGUGAAGCUCAAUGUAAUACAUUGGGUAAAAAAACCGAACAACUGUCAAUGGAUAUCUUGGUUCUC